AGCAACCCGUUUGGUUAUCUUUCUGUGCUGUGGAAGGUUUGUUCUUUCACUCUGCACUAUUUUGCAAUAAAUAUUGCUAUUGCUCACUUUGGGUUUAUAUUGCCUUUAUGAGCUGUAACACUCACCAUGAAGGUCUGCAGCUUUACUCUUGAAGCUUAGCGAGACCACUAACCCACCAGAAGGAAGAAACUCCGGACACGCCGCCUUUAAGAACUGUAAUACUCAGUGCGAGGGUUCACGGCUUCAUUCUUGAGAAAGACAACGAGGAGGGAGCAGCUAGAGGGGUGGAAAUGGGAUCACGUGACCUUGCGAGAAGCAGGGAGAGAGAACACUGCGUCUGCUCCCUUUUAGAACAGCUCAAUAUAGGGAAUCCCUAACAGAGGACUUCCAGGAUAUCCUAGGGACAGCAGAGCCUCAAGAUCCAGGGAGGAUCCUGGAUACCUGAGUCACCACUUGGAGGGGAAUCUCCUGGAAGAACUGAUUGAUCAGCAACAUCUACAUUCAACUUGAGGCUGUGGAAGCAUGGCACCAGCAUCUUCUUGGCUUCUGAUGAGGCCUCAGGAAGCUUUUACUCAUGGUGGAAGGCAAAGUUGGAGAAGGCAUGUCUCAUGGUGAGAGGGGAACGAGAGAGAGGGGAGGAGUUCCUUAAACAACCAGCUCUCCUGUGAACUAGUAGAAGAAGAACUCACUCAUUACCACAGAGAGGGCACCAAGCCGUUCAGGAGGCAUCUGCCCCCAGGACCCAAACACCUUCCAUUAGGCUCCACCUCCAACAUUGUGGAUCACAUUUCACCAUGAGAUUUGGAGAGGACAAACAUCCAAACCAUGUCAGCAAACCCCUCCUCUCCCUUCCCACCCUCCCCUGGCCUUACCCCACCUGAGUCAGGCACGGUGAGCAGGACCAAAGCCCAAGCAGUCACAACAAUGCGGGAAUGAACGUUAUUAUGCGCUGUGACGAUAUUUGAUGAAUUCAUAUGCGCCUAGGGGAGCAGACUAAGUAGGUGAAUAAAGUGAGACUAUUCUCUGUGACAAUCAAUAUUCCUUCAAUUGAACCAUCUCUGCAGAUCUGACAUUUUGAUUUUUCUUUUUUGGACACAUUAACUGGAUUUAUGCCUCCAUAUGGUGGAGACGGCAGGGAAGACGACUUGGAGACAGCGCAAGUAGAGAGAUAUGGUGGCGCCUCCACAGGCACCUGGGUAGGUGGGUGGGAGCAGGUGCAUUUGCAUAAGACCCUGGCUCAGUGGGAGCCACUGCCCCAGAGCACUGUGCUCACCUGGCCGCUGCAGCUCAGAGCUGGGAGGCCCCACCUGCCUGUGGUUCUUUCACAAGCAAGCUGAGAAAGGAGCCAGCUCCAGCUCUGGGAGUCCUUCUGCCCUGGAAGCCUGACCCAGGCUCCCGGAACACCCACUCAGCUCUGGACAGAACGGGGGCAUGGUGGGGGCAGAUGACUUCUUCAGGGCCCUCCCAGGGUCGACGUGAAGCCGACAGGCUCUGCUGACUGCUUGGUUUCAAUUUCUGGCUCUGCCAUUUGCUCAUAAAUAGUGCCAGGUGAGUGAUCUUGGACAAAGUCCAUAACAUCUUUUGUCCCAGUGUACUGAUCUGCAAAAUGGAGCUGAUGAUAACACUGACUUAAUAACUUGAGUACCUUUAGCUGCCAGGCAUUCGUUUCAGAGCUUUACUGAAUCAGUGUACCCAACUGUCACAAUAAUCCAGCAGGGUGGGUACUAGAAUAGUCCCAUUUCCAGGUGAGAAAACUGAGAGACGCAGCUAUGCAGUUUAGGCACAUGAGGGUUUGAAACUCAGUUCUGUCACUUAAUAGAUGUGUAAGUCAAGAUUCUUUAUGAAAAAAUAAAAGUACAACUCAAAGGAGCUUAAGCACCAGAAGGAUACAGAGAUACUGUCUUUGGUACCCGGAAAAGGAUGCUGAGGUUGCUUGAGGAAUCCAAGGGAAGAAAGGCUCUAGAACCUUCUAGAACCUCCUAAAGGUUCCAGAGCCAUAGGGGCUAGAACCCACCCCCAGCCCCAUCUGCAAUCUUGCUCUGUCAUUGCCCAUCAUUAUUUCUCUCUGCUUUUCUUUCCAGGUUGUUCCGUAAGACAGGAUGGCACAGAGCUUUAAGCAACAGCUCUGGCAUCUGACUUCCGUGUUUGCAUCUGGCUUUGAGUGUGACUUUGGACAAGUUCCUUAGCUGGCCAGAUACUCUUGUCCUCAUCCAUAAGAUGGAGCAACAACGAAGCCUUUCUCAUAGGUUAUUGUGAGGAUUGAAUGAAUUAGUAUAUGCCAAGCAUUUGAAGCAGUGCCUGACAUGUAGUAGAUGCUGAGUAACACUGGGGAUCUGCCUUUUCUUUUUCCUCUAUGUGACUGGCAGCCUUAGCCAGACCACAUCAGCUGAGAUGAUUUUCUCUGUAAGUUACCAGGAUCACCUAGAUCUGGCCAAGGACUUGCCCCUGUAAGGAAAUUUGGAAUAAGCAAAAAAGAUCACUAGGUGUCGCCGAUGGAAAACUAGGUUGUUUUGAGCAUACCUUUGCAUGUUAUCUGAUUUUAGCCUUUCAGGGUCUUUGAGCUAUUUUAUGGCUCUGUAGGUUGUACAUAACUGAUAGCAAUGCAAAAUAAUUCUUGUCUAUAGACAUGCAAAUAAAUCCUGUCCAGCGGUUCAAUUGACUACCCUCUUCCCUAAGGAAAAAGCCAGUUUCAGUCUAUUUGUAAAUUCAUUUCCACUUUCCUUACUCCCUAUAAAUUUCUGCUUUUCAGAUUUCUCCUUUGUUAACGUCUGCCUGGUUCCCUCAUUAAGUCAAAUAAAAUCUUUAACACGUUAAA
This 2815-nucleotide long non-coding RNA is filed under the name Homo sapiens (human). Its description in RNAcentral is "long independently transcribed non-coding RNA 2074, transcript variant 1 (LINC02074)". The record is from RNAcentral. Lineage: Eukaryota; Metazoa; Chordata; Mammalia; Primates; Hominidae.